Molecule: ribosomal RNA, 119 nt
Organism: Colobus angolensis palliatus
Lineage: Eukaryota; Metazoa; Chordata; Mammalia; Primates; Cercopithecidae
Source: Ensembl
GUCUAUGGCCAUCCCACCCUGAACACGCCUGACCUCGCCUGAUCUUGGAAGAUAAGCAGGGUCGGAUCUGGUUAGUACUUGGUUGGGAGACCGUGUGGGAAUACUGAGUGCUGUAGGCU